RNAcentral lists this unclassified non-coding RNA (205 nucleotides) under Hevea brasiliensis (rubber tree). The record is from RNAcentral. Lineage: Eukaryota; Viridiplantae; Streptophyta; Magnoliopsida; Malpighiales; Euphorbiaceae.
CCUAUUCUCAAGUUGGGAACGAUGUGCAAGUGUAUGAGCUUCAAAACAAGGUUUAUGAUAUGAAACAGGGUGAUCUAACUAUUGCUCAAUAUUAUGCAAAAUUGAGUGGUCUAUAACAAGAACUGGACUUUUACCACGACUUUCAGGUCUCAUGUCCUGAAGAUGCAGUUGCUUGAGAAAAAGCGGAUCUAUGAUUUUCUUGCUG